CAGCCGCCGCGGUAAUACGGAGGGUGCAAGCGUUAAUCGGAAUUACUGGGCGUAAAGCGCACGCAGGCGGUCUGUCAAGUCAGAUGUGAAAUCCCCGGGCUUAACCUGGGAACUGCAUUUGAAACUGGCAGGCUAGAGUAUGGGAGAGGAUGGUAGAAUUCCAGGUGUAGCGGUGAAAUGCGUAGAGAUCUGGAGGAAUACCGAUGGCGAAGGCAGCCAUCUGGCCUAAUACUGACGCUGAGGUACGAAAGCAUGGGGAGCAAACAGGAUUAGAUACCCCGGUAGUCCCUGUCUCUUAUAC
This 301-nucleotide ribosomal RNA is filed under the name uncultured bacterium. Its description in RNAcentral is "partial 16S ribosomal RNA". It matches the Rfam family "Bacterial small subunit ribosomal RNA", at positions 509 to 807 of the family's 1533-position model. The record is from RNAcentral.